ACUAACGCUGGCGGCGUGCUUAACACAUGCAAGUCGAACGGAAAGGCCCUUCGGGGUACUCGAGUGGCGAACGGGUGAGUAACACGUGGGUGAUCUGCCCUGCACUUUGGGAUAAGCCUGGGAAACUGGGUCUAAUACCGAAUAGGACCGCGCGCUUCAUGGUGUGUGGUGGAAAGCUUUUGCGGUGUGGGAUGGGCCCGCGGCCUAUCAGCUUGUUGGUGGGGUAAUGGCCUACCAAGGCGACGACGGGUAGCCGGCCUGAGAGGGUGACCGGCCACACUGGGACUGAGAUACGGCCCAGACUCCUACGGGAGGCAGCAGUGGGGAAUAUUGCACAAUGGGCGCAAGCCUGAUGCAGCGACGCCGCGUGAGGGAUGACGGCCUUCGGGUUGUAAACCUCUUUCACCAGGGACGAAGCGCAAGUGACGGUACCUGGAGAAGAAGCACCGGCCAACUACGUG
This 461-nucleotide ribosomal RNA is filed under the name uncultured bacterium. Its description in RNAcentral is "partial 16S ribosomal RNA". It matches the Rfam family "Bacterial small subunit ribosomal RNA", at positions 29 to 507 of the family's 1533-position model. The record is from RNAcentral.